Molecule: ribosomal RNA, 891 nt
Filed under: Microbacterium sp.
Lineage: Bacteria; Bacillati; Actinomycetota; Actinomycetes; Micrococcales; Microbacteriaceae
Description: bacterial SSU rRNA
Rfam family: Bacterial small subunit ribosomal RNA
Source: RNAcentral
AAACAGCAAUUAAUACCGGAUAUGAGACGUAAAGGCAUCUUCAACGUUUGGAAAGAGUUUCGGUCUGGGAUGAGCUCGCGGCCUAUCAGCUAGUUGGUGAGGUAACGGCUCACCAAGGCGUCGACGGGUAGCCGGCCUGAGAGGGUGACCGGCCACACUGGGACUGAGACACGGCCCAGACUCCUACGGGAGGCAGCAGUGGGGAAUAUUGCACAAUGGGCGCAAGCCUGAUGCAGCAACGCCGCGUGAGGGACGACGGCCUUCGGGUUGUAAACCUCUUUUAGCAGGGAAGAAGCGAAAGUGACGGUACCUGCAGAAAAAGCACCGGCUAACUACGUGCCAGCAGCCGCGGUAAUACGUAGGGUGCAAGCGUUAUCCGGAAUUAUUGGGCGUAAAGAGCUCGUAGGCGGUCUGUCGCGUCUGCUGUGAAAACCCGAGGCUCAACCUCGGGCCUGCAGUGGGUACGGGCAGACUAGAGUGCGGUAGGGGAGAUUGGAAUUCCUGGUGUAGCGGUGGAAUGCGCAGAUAUCAGGAGGAACACCGAUGGCGAAGGCAGAUCUCUGGGCCGUAACUGACGCUGAGGAGCGAAAGGGUGGGGAGCAAACAGGCUUAGAUACCCUGGUAGUCCACCCCGUAAACGUUGGGAACUAGUUGUGGGGUCCAUUCCACGGAUUCCGUGACGCAGCUAACGCAUUAAGUUCCCCGCCUGGGGAGUACGGCCGCAAGGCUAAAACUCAAAGGAAUUGACGGGGACCCGCACAAUCGGCGGAGCAUGCGGAUUAAUUCGAUGCAACGCGAAAAACCUUACCAAGGCUUGACAUAUAUAGGAAACGGCUUAAAAAUUUUUUAACUUAAUAUUUAUAUAUUUAAGUAAAUGGUUGUAGACAUCAA